This 253-nucleotide ribosomal RNA is filed under the name uncultured bacterium. RNAcentral describes it as "partial 16S ribosomal RNA". It matches the Rfam family "Bacterial small subunit ribosomal RNA", at positions 524 to 776 of the family's 1533-position model. The record is from RNAcentral.
UACAGAGGUGGCAAGCGUUGUUCGGAAUUACUGGGCGUAAAGGGCGCGUAGGCGGCCAUCUAAGUCAGACGUGAAAUCCCCCGGCUUAACCUGGGAACUGCGUCUGAUACUGGAAGGCUUGAGUAUGGGAGAGGGAUGUAGAAUUCCAGGUGUAGCGGUGAAAUGCGUAGAUAUCUGGAGGAAUACCGGUGGCGAAGGCGGCAUCCUGGACCAUUACUGACGCUCAGGCACGAAAGCGUGGGGAGCAAACAGG